GUUCUCUUAGGGAACUUUUCUCUCAUGGAAGAAGCAGUAGCAUCUUUUUCCUGUCUCAAGAUGAUUGCUUUAUGAUUAAGAUGCUCCAGAAAUCUGAAGUGAAGUUUGUUAGAAGACAUAUUGACUGUCAAACAUGUCUUCCUCAUUUACCCCUCUUUCUCUCUCUCUCUCUCCCUCUUUUGAGAGGGUGAAAUUAUGAAGGAAACUUUUAAGCUGGAGCUUGGUAAAAUAACUCCAUAGAUACCUUACAUGCACUGGUAAAAUACAUAAUUGAUAGUCAAGAUGGCAUUUUUACUAAACAUAUGUACGACACCAAUACCAGUUGUAUUGUUUGAAUAUGUUAAACAAGUCAUAUGUCUCCUGACAGAAAGUUUGCCCCUCAAUUUCCACCUCCACACGGUGCCAAGCUUUGACCUUUUGUUGCAAAUGGGUACCUGUAGGUGAUGUUUCUGAGCGCUUGAGAACUGUUCUUGAUGCCAUGCAACUUUGACCGCUUUUAAUGGGUUUCCCAAGCCAUGGUGAAGCAGCGACUGGCGGUGGCUUUCUGAUUUGCCCAUGCCCCGUGGAUAAGGUCUCUCUUUCUAUCUCACUCUCCCUAGCUGCUCGAAUGGAAAGAAAGUUUGCCCCUCAAUUUCCACCUCCAAAUGGUGUCAAGCUGUGGCCUUUUGUUGCAAAUGGGUACCUUUAGGUGAUGUUUCUGAGCGCUUGAGAACUGUUCUUGAUGCCACGCAACUUUGACCGCUUUUAAUGGGUUUCCCAAGCCAUGGUGAAGCAGCGACUGGCCGUGGCUCUCUGAUUUGCCCAUGCCCUGUGGAUAAGAUCUCUCUUUCUAUCUCACUCUCCCUAACUGCUUGAAUGGAAAGGUAUAUUUCUUUGAUCUUAAAACCUUACUUUCAUCACCAGUCUUUGGAUGUACGAUUUGCUUUUUGCUUUGUACGAUUUCCUUUCAUCACCAAUCUUAAAACCUUAAUUGAACAAUCAAUUUGAAAUAAUUUAGAGUAUUCACAUACUCAGCAUUAUCUUACAA
Long non-coding RNA from Hevea brasiliensis (rubber tree), 1027 nucleotides. RefSeq lists it as uncharacterized. The record is from RefSeq and is a predicted model, not a curated record. NCBI's taxonomy places the organism in Eukaryota, Viridiplantae, Streptophyta, Magnoliopsida, Malpighiales, Euphorbiaceae. The transcript has 2 exons.